This is a long non-coding RNA of Cercocebus atys (sooty mangabey), 3696 nucleotides long. RefSeq lists it as uncharacterized. The record is from RefSeq and is a predicted model, not a curated record. The transcript has 3 exons. NCBI's taxonomy places the organism in Eukaryota, Metazoa, Chordata, Mammalia, Primates, Cercopithecidae.
ACAUCAUAACGAAGUUCAUCUCAUACGAGUGUGAAAAGGCAAUCAUCAUGCUUAUGAACCACAAGAUUAUCCUAUUUAUUUAUUUUCAAUUAUUUUAUCCUCCUCUGCCUCUUGCCCUGCACUAUAUAAGACCUGCGAUAUGAUGUUGAAUAAGGUGAAAAUGAACAUCAUUGCAUCACUCCUGAUAUCAAGGGAGGAAGUGUUCCAGUUCAGAAGGACUUUCUGGCUGAAGCUGAUCGAACAAACGCCCUGAUAUUCUUUGUACACCAGCAUCACUCACCCUUGAACUUGGAAGACAGCUCACAGGGCAGUCAGUACAGCCUUGCAGCUUGCAGAGAAGAAGGAAUCUUGAAAGUUCCAAGUUCCAAUCUCUCCUUCCCUACCUCUUUUCUUGACUUCUCUGGAACAAGCUAUCUGAAAGAAGAAAUAGUCACAUUACAAUUUUUUUUUUUUUUUCUGGGCUCACGUGAAUAUUGCUCCAGGGACAAGAAGAAAAAAAAAAAAUGUCUUCUCUAUUUCCUUAAGAAGGUCAGCAAGACAGAGCAGUUACAUUUCAUAUGCAGCCUCUCCAAGGACAUUCAUUUUCUCCACCAGAGCCCCAAGGUGGGCAAGGAGGGCCAGUUUUGUGCAGCGUCUGUUGUGUACAGCAUUCAGGACAACGUCCGCUUGGAUCCCGGCCUCUCCUCACAGAUGGAGGAGAUAAAGGAAGGUCCCUCUCCUGGUCUCCCUGCCAGGGAGGCUGUUGCUGACAGAGGGUAAGGGGCCUCCCAGAGUCCUCCUCAGGUGGGAGCAGAAGGUUGGUAUUGCUGACCUCGCAUAAGCUUUUACCUGAACUUGGGCUCUUGCCUGUCUUUGUUCUGAGGUAAGAUGGUGUGUGUGCGCGUGUGUGCGUGUGUGUGUUUGGAGGAUGUAUGAGGCAAGUUCAAGGUUGCAGGCAGGAAGCACUAUAGCUAUUUUAUCUCUGUACAUGUCAUCUUGUCAAAAAAUUCUGAGACUCUUCAAGUCCCAGGACCCUCACAAGUGAGGUCUCAAUGUCAACCCACCAGCAGCUUGACUAGCUACGGGAAUGGGAAUGGAGUUGCCUGGGCAGCUGAGUGAAGUGCUGGCCUCCGGUGCCCAUACCUGCUUGCCUGUGCCCAGGGGUAGAGCCUGGCUGUCAGGAGGGCUGCUGUGGGGGAGGCCUGGCACCUCAGGAGCCUCCUCUGUCACCUGCUUGCUCAGAUCCUAGGGACAGGAUGUCUUGGCCUCCUGUUCCUUGGAGUAGAGGGCAAGUUCUUGGUUGCAAACAAGAGGAAAUUGUUCUGGGUGGAAUAAAUGGAAAGAAAAUUUGUAGAGGGCCAUCAGGGCCAAGGGAUGUUCAGGUGGUCUGGGAGAGUAAAAGACAGGGAGGACAAUUAUUGAUUUUUAGCAGAUGUCUGGCCAGGACAUCACCCCUCUGCUACAUAGGGCUGUCCUGCCUCUCCCAGCUAUUCCCUAUGGCCCCUGCUACUGGACACCAUUUCCCUGUGUUCUCAUCUCCAGGGCCAAGGGUCCUUGAGUGCUACUCUCUCUGUCUCUUACCCACCCAGAACCAGAGGCCCACAUGGGAGCAGGGGAUGGGUUGGGCCCAGCCCACAUACCAGGGCUGGGGCGUGGUAGGGUCUGUUUUUUGUUUUUGUUUGUUUGUGUGUUUUUUAGGGGAGUUUGGACAGGGAAAAAAGGCAUAUGUUCAUCAGAGGAACGCUGAAGAAUCUGGCACAUCUUUUGUGGGGGAAUUAAUCAGAGUAACAAGGCUUAAUAAUGUUUUUCAAAUAACAGGUUUUUUCCCCCUUUUUCCUUCCAGAAUGUGAUGGACAGAUGGCAGAUGGAGAAUGAAUGGGCUUAAAUUACUGCAGGAGGGUGGAGAGAAGAUGUGUGAAGGAGUUUCCUGAUGGUGGUGGGUGGGCUCUGGGCCCCAGGGUGGGGUGACUCUGCAGCUGGUAGGCCCUCCCUGUGAAGAGAAAAGGGGAUCUCCCCAGUGACUCCUUUUCCUAUUGCUUCUCCUUGGAGACCUGGAGGCCCCUUAACUCUAGGAGGAUUGGGGCAGCAUCCUCUCCUGAGAUACAUGGAGGGGCAUAAUGAUGGGAGCAGGUAGCAGAGGCUGAGCCUGGGGCUCUUCACCUGUGAUUGUGCAGGAAGACACUAAUGGGGCCUUUCCCUAUUAGCCCUAAGGAAUUAGACUGAAAGGAAACUCCUGAUCUGAAAUGGCGGCAUUUGCUAAGUUAGAAAAUGGAAGUACCACCCAGUCUGGGGGAUCCCAUAGGCACCCAAGAGUGCACCAAGCCACUAGGACUGAGUUCACCUGAGAGUCCCACCCUGCUCGGAAUAUGCAGACUUGGUGUCCUGUCCCUUUAGAGCACUCCAUGCCUGGAAGUGCCACGGCCCACAUGGAAUGGGCCCAGCCAACAACUCUCAAGGAGCCCCAGCAACGAAUGAUGAGCAUCUCCCCUGAACCCAUCUCCCCAUGCCCGGUGUUUAAAGUGAAUUGUAACAAAUAUCUGAUAAAUGAAUAAACCUGUAAAUGGAAUCAAAAACCUUAUGAACUUGAAGGAGAAAUAGGAGUCCCAGGUCUGUUAAGUCUAAAUUGCAUAAAUCUGAUCAACUCCCUGACAGUUUCUGCCAAUGGCUUUUGAAGAGGAAGAAAAGGGGUGAGCAGAGAAAUUGGGCAGAGGAGGGGGAAGAGCGAGGGGCAGGGGAGGCAGGCAUGACUCAGAAAUUAAGCUAUCACCAGGAGUCCCCAGUGUUCCUUAGCUGGACUAAUAAAUGGAUGACAAUAGGAGUUCCUUGCAAGUCUGUCUGCUCCUAUGUGUCUGCCCAGAGGACACCUUUAGAGAAUGAGAGAUUUGCAUAAAAUGGGGCCAAAGUCUCCUUUUGGGCCUUUCUGGACAAGGAGCUGAGGAAGAACUGUGGCAUCCUGGAAUCAGCUACUGGGCCUAGAUGAGUUCAGCUGCUAGGAUGGAGUCCAUCUGGUUGGGUAGCUGGAGCUGGCGGCAGGGAGGUCACAUUCAGGAUGUGCUCAAGGGCUCUCGAUUUGGCCUCUGCCACUUUUUGUUCUGUUGGGCAAAUUACUUCCUGCAGUGGUUUUAAACAUGGCCACAGACUUCUUUAACACUCAUCCUAGUGAGAGGUGGUGGUGGUGGAUCUGUGUCCUCUUCUCUUGAAUCUAGGUGGCUUUGUGACUCCACUAAUACAGAAUGGUGGCAUUGAUGCUGUCUGACUUUUCAGGCUUGGCUGGAAAAGGUUGUGCAACUUCUGCCUGAGUUUCUUGGGACACUGUCGUUGGGGGAAAACAGGCCCUAUUUAGGAAAUCCAAUUGCCCGGAGAGUGCCAUGCUGGAGAGGUGUUCCUGUUCAAGGCCAUGCCCCACUGAGCUCCCGGCCAGUGGCCAACAUCAACGGCCAGCCGUGGGAAUGAACCUCGUGAGCCACCGAGUCUCGCCCAGCCUUUAGAUGACUGCAGUUCCAGCCCGUGUGCGACUGCAGCAGCUAAGUCACAGCUGCCUAAUCAAACUCUCCCCAAAUUUCUGACCUGCAAAAUUACAAACACUGUAAAAUUAUUGUUUUAAGCUGCUAAUUCAGGAGUAACUUGUCAAUAGCAACCAAAACACGCCCCCUCUUGGGUUUCAGUUUUUUUUUCUGAACCAUGAAGGGUUACACUAGAUCAUUUUUAAAACCGUAU